This 253-nucleotide ribosomal RNA is filed under the name uncultured bacterium. RNAcentral's name for it is "partial 16S ribosomal RNA". It matches the Rfam family "Bacterial small subunit ribosomal RNA", at positions 524 to 776 of the family's 1533-position model. The record is from RNAcentral.
UACGGGGGGGGCAAGCGUUGUUCGGAUUUACUGGGCGUAAAGGGCGCGUAGGCGGUAGCACAAGUCAGUUGUGAAAUCUCCGGGCUUAACUCGGAAAGGUCAACUGAUACUGUGCGACUAGAGUGCAGAAGGGGCAACUGGAAUUCUCGGUGUAGCGGUGAAAUGUGUAGAGAUCGGGAGGAACACCGGUGGCGAAGGCGGGUCUCUGGGCAAUUCCUGACGCUGAGGCGCGAAAGCGUGGGGAGCAAACGGG